UGGGGAAUAUUGGACAAUGGGCGAAAGCCUGAUCCAGCCAUGCCGCGUGUGUGAAGACGUCCUUCGGAUUGUAACGCACUUUAAGUUGGGAGGAAGGGCAGUAAGCGAAUACCUUGCUGUUUUGACGUUACCGACAGAAUAAGCACCGGCUAACUCUGUGCCAGCAGCCGCGGUAAUACAGAGGGUGCAAGCGUUAAUCGGAAUUACUGGGCGUAAAGCGCGCGUAGGUGGUUCGUUAAGUUGAAUGUGAAAGCCCCGGGCUCAACCUGGGAACUGCAUCCAAAACUGGCGAGCUGGAGUAGGGCAGAGGGUGGUGGAAUUUCCUGUGUAGCGGUGAAAUGCGUAGAUAUAGGAAGGAACACCAGUGGCGAAGGCGACCACCUGGGCUCAUACUGACACUGAGGUGCGAAAGAGUGGGGAGCAAACAGG
This 429-nucleotide ribosomal RNA is filed under the name Pseudomonadota bacterium. RNAcentral's name for it is "Proteobacteria bacterium partial 16S ribosomal RNA". It matches the Rfam family "Bacterial small subunit ribosomal RNA", at positions 355 to 776 of the family's 1533-position model. The record is from RNAcentral. Lineage: Bacteria; Pseudomonadati; Pseudomonadota.